Long non-coding RNA from Daphnia pulicaria, 2077 nucleotides. RefSeq lists it as uncharacterized. The transcript is spliced from 3 exons. NCBI's taxonomy places the organism in Eukaryota, Metazoa, Arthropoda, Branchiopoda, Diplostraca, Daphniidae. The record is from RefSeq and is a predicted model, not a curated record.
GUCAACGGCACAGGUGCUGAUUUUUCAUUUUUUGGUUGUUUUUUUUUUAUUCACGACUGUGUUAAUGGACUAUUCGACUGGAACCAUGUUGAUUUCUGAAACUCAUCAGUAGCCUAUAGGUUGGUGGGAGUGUCAAAUCACCAGACCACAAGAAGUAUUUUUAAGUUGCAAGAAUGAACAAAGAACUUAAUGUGAGUGAUCUUGGUGAACUUGCAGAUUGCAAUGAAUGAAUGGUGAUGCCAACGAAAAGUUCAGCAACGGGCAAAGGAUAAAACAACAACCCCUCUUGCAACUUGAUCAUCCCAUCGCCGCCGGCUCCGCCUCUCGUCCGACCCGCCGAGCCCUCCCGCACCAUCAUCCAUCACGUUAAAUUCCCCGCGCUUCUUUAUUCUGCGGUGAUGGGCCUCAAAAAUGCGCCUUGUGUUGGUUUCUAUAUGCGUGUGAUGGGCGGCAGGCGCUCGCGGUGCAAAGGCCUUUAGCGUCGUAUAUAGUCGGUAGGUUAUCGCCAUCUCCAUUUCUUUCUUCCUCUUCGUGAUACAUUCACGCUCCGUCGCUCGUUCAUUCCCUCCUGGUUGUCUCUCGCUUCUCGUUAUCUUUCCUUUCUCUCGCUGUGGGCCUUAUUGUUGGGAAAAAGGGAAAUUCGAGGAGUCGUCUGGAUAUUAUUUCAGACGACGGUGUGGGUGUGUAUUUAUUAGAAGUGAAAUGAUUCGCCGCUUUCCGGAGGCCGUCGGUUCGAUAUUAUGGCCACACUCUGCUGCUGCGACGACAGAAGCCAGCCAGCAGACGAGUCUGCUGUAGAUAGUGUUAGACGAUUCCAUCACUUUUUCUUUUGUAUUUUGAGGUUUUUUAACGAGUCAGCCGAUCUUUUCGCACGCUGUACGACCGCGGUCUUUGUCAUCAUUUUCUGUUGGUUGGGAGACCUUUUCUUGCCUCGCUUGGCCCUGUAUAGAUUUCAACUAUUAUUAUAUAUUAUUGACACUAGCGAUGCGAACACAAAAGUUCCGGGAUCUUGCGAAAAAGGAAGUCGAAUAAAAAUAAAAAUAUUCCGCAGUGAAAUUUAAAAAAAAUGAAAGAAAUAAAGAAUUCACCGGAUAUCUUUUAUGUAUAGAAACGACUAGCGGUUGGCGGUUGAUAUUUUCAUUUCUAUUUAAAAUUUCAUUCGGUUCCACCAUAACAUAAAAAAUACAGUGGAAUGACAUCAAAUUUUACUGCGACCACUCAGCGUGCACUACUGCAGCCCCUCUUCUCUGUAUUAUAUAUACUGGACAUCACGUCUAUAUGGGCCAUGACUGGGGAUAUGUAGGCCGACCAUAUUCCGAGAUGUAUUGAAGACUAUUAGCGGAAUAGAUAUAGACGGGAAAAGAAUAAAGAGGGAAGAAAGAAAAGCUGCGAUAGAUAUAGCGAAGAAAAGGAACUGAGAGAUCAAUGACGACUGCCGGGUGUGGGCGACUAACGGAGCUAGUGGGGAGGGGGGGCUUUGGUCCACGAUGAGGAUGUCGCCUGUCAAAAGGGAUAGCUGCACCGGACGGAAGAAGAGUGCAGUCAGUGUAUGUGUAGCUAUAGAAAAAGAGUGCGCUGCUCUAUUGGUCUCCUCUCUUUUCUUUUCUGUGUACACAGAACUGGCAUUAGCCACGAAUGGCUAACUUUGUACUUUUCUAUCUUGUUCUCUUUCUCCCUCUCUCUAUACUACUACCCCGCUAUUUUAUUUUUGUUGCUUGGUUUUUUCUCUUUCUUUCUUUCUUCUGUGUAAUCAUAGCGAAAAACUGUACUGUGCAAGUGUGCAGUAACUUUUACAACUUGCAAGAUUUGGUCGACAGGCCAUGAGAGAAUGAUGAGCUUCAGGAAUUUUUCAGCUCUUCAAUUUUAAAUGGUACGUGGAUCAAACUUUGUAGCGAUAUUAAAUAUCAAGGCCACGAGAAAUCAAACGCUGAAUUUUUCAAUAAUAAAUAUUACAUCGCAAUCCGUAAAACCGCAAUUGUCGAUGAUUUAUCGACCACGCCAGUUUCAGAUGGGCACAGCAUUUACUGCUGUUUUGCUUUUACCUCAUUUUCGCUUGGUUAGUCGCCGGUUAUUUCAG